Molecule: non-coding RNA, 261 nt
Organism: Cinara cedri
Lineage: Eukaryota; Metazoa; Arthropoda; Insecta; Hemiptera; Aphididae
Source: the annotation of a GenBank genome assembly
GUGUUAUUAAGAUUAUUAAGAUUUUCAAUCAUACUUUCAUUUACAAAUAAAAAAAUGGUUGAUGUUCAUAUUAUAAUAAUUAAAUGCGUUUAAAAAACUCAUUCACUUAGAGACGGCCUUUCCAAACACUACUCUCAAGUGGACAAUAAUAGGUCAUAGGUGUUUUUAGAUACCAAUGACCUACUAUACUUAUGUUGUUCCACCGAAUACAAGGGCGAGACCCGUUUCGCCCAAACUUUACAUUUCCCAUUUAGCCCAAAC